Molecule: ribosomal RNA, 468 nt
Filed under: uncultured bacterium
Lineage: Bacteria
Description: partial 16S ribosomal RNA
Rfam family: Bacterial small subunit ribosomal RNA
Source: RNAcentral
GAUGAACGCUGGCGGCGUGCUUAACACAUGCAAGUCGAACGGCAACACCCUGCUUUCGUGGGGUGCCCGAGUGGCAAAGGGGUACGUAACAGGUAAGCAUCCUGACCUUGACUUUCGGAUAACUUCAGGAAACUGGGGCUAAUACCAGAUCGGAGCUCCUGCCGCAUGGUGGGGGUUGGAAAGUCUCGGCGGUUGGGGAUGGACUCGCGGCUUAUCAGCUUGUUGGUGGGCGGGUGGCUGACCACGGGUUUGGCGGGUAGGCGGCCUGAGUGGGUGACCGGGCACCAGGCGACUGAGAUACGGCACAGAGUCCUACGGGAGGCAGAAGUGGGGAAGAUUGCCCAAUGGGCGGAAGCCGGAUGCAGCAACGCCGCGGUCGGGAUGACGGCCUGCGGGUUGUAAACCGCAUUCGGCUGUGACGAAGCGUGAGUGACGGUAAUGGGUGAAGAAGCACCGGCUAACUACGUG